CCUCCCACCCGUGUUUACUGUACCUUAGUUGCUUCGGCGGGCCCGCCAUUCAUGGCCGCCGGGGGCUCUCAGCCCCGGGCCCGCGCCCGCCGGAGACACCACGAACUCUGUCUGAUCUAGUGAAGUCUGAGUUGAUUGUAUCGCAAUCAGUUAAAACUUUCAACAAUGGAUCUCUUGGUUCCGGCAUCGAUGAAGAACGCAGCGAAAUGCGAUAACUAGUGUGAAUUGCAGAAUUCCGUGAAUCAUCGAGUCUUUGAACGCACAUUGCGCCCCCUGGUAUUCCGGGGGGCAUGCCUGUCCGAGCGUCAUUGCUGCCCAUCAAGCACGGCUUGUGUGUUGGGUCGUCGUCCCCUCUCCGGGGGGGACGGGCCCCAAAGGCAGCGGCGGCACCGCGUCCGAUCCUCGAGCGUAUGGGGCUUUGUCACCCGCUCUGUAGGCCCGGCCGGCGCUUGCCGAACGCAAAUCAAUCUUUUUCCAGGUUGACCUCGGAUCAGGUAGGGAUACCCGCUGAACUUAAGCAUAUCA
RNAcentral lists this ribosomal RNA (525 nucleotides) under Aspergillus oryzae. RNAcentral describes it as "eukaryotic LSU rRNA". The stretch from base 155 to 308 matches the Rfam family "5.8S ribosomal RNA". Lineage: Eukaryota; Fungi; Ascomycota; Eurotiomycetes; Eurotiales; Aspergillaceae. The record is from RNAcentral.